AAACAAGCUUGUCUUUACUGAAGGACUGGACAUAGACUUCAUCACCACUACUGAUGGGCCCCAUCAGUAAGAAAAAUCAGGGAGGAAUUCAAAAAUAUCCACCACGAAUUAGAUCCGUGGCAUGUUUCAAAAGGCAUUAAAAAGAAACUUAUAACACUCGUCAACAAAAGGGACAACUGGGACCUGCAGGGCUGGCUUCGCUCGAUCCUCAAUCAUUUUUGGUUCACUUGCUCAUCUUGCGGUGGGAGUGCAGAGGAACUGAAACGACGGUGGACCUCAUUCCUACACCAUAUAUGUGGGGAGCAAACAUGGAAGCAAGACAGCAAAAAGUGGGCAUGCCCUCACCCUGCCCUAAGCCCAGAUGAGGAAAGGAAUAAGCAAUGGCUCCACCCAGAUUCCCGAGCGGUCAAGGGUCUACUGUCAGUUGUCAAAGAUAAAAGACUUCUGAAAGACCUUGAGCAGAUGACUCACUUUAAACAUACUGGUUCUUUGGAGGUGUACCACAAUCUUAUGCUGAAGUAUUUGCCUAAACGACUGCAUUUUGGUUAUGAUACCAUGGUAGCCCGAACACAACUAGCCAUCCUGGACAACAACUACAAUGUAGGCAGAGAGCAGGCAGUGACUUCACAAGGGACUCCAAGAUUCAGUCUGUCAUUCACUAAACAGAGCAAGGAAUGGGUGGCAAAGAAAAUCUACGAGCUACAAGUCAGUACUUCACCAACCACCUGGUGAAAUGUGUGUUGGAGAGAAGGGAGGAAAAAAACAGAAGACAUACCGCAUGUUCAGCAGCCUACAAACAUUGCCACUAAGCAAAGACCCCUAAGGAAGAAGUAAUAGGAAAGCAUCAAACAAGAUUCCUCAGCCACGCAGAUACUUGAAACCUAAGCAUCUGUACAAUUACAAACUCUUUCAUUCACUUCUCACUUUAUUUUUUACAGUGCGAAAAUAGUUUUAUACAGUGUGAUGUGCAUUUUAUUUACAAAAAAACUGAAAAGAUAAGAAAUAACAGCUUUUGUUGAAAUGAAGUUUGUUGUUCAGUUCAGAGGUCAGAAUAAAUCCUCUAUCUCCCUCGCUGUGAAUCCUGCAUACUGUCCAGUGGGGAAUGGAAACGCGUCUCUCAUGGCCCACACCACACAACUAGGCAGUGCAGCUCGAUUUCCACGUCCAAGUUGUUGAUCCUUGAGGGCCCACUCCAGAAUCACUCUUUAUGCCACCAGUCGGUAUUGUCUGAAAGUAACAUGGAUGUUGCACAGAUUCUGCAUCAGUAAACCAUGAUGACAAGAUAGCAGGGAAUAACACAAUGUUUAUUUUCAAGGGGCUGCUGCUAUAGCCUAGCCUAUGUAGCCUACGUGUAUUUAGCCCAAACAUAUGCUGUGACUUGGACGGACUUCUGAAAUAGACAUUCGUUACAUCAAAGAGCAAAAAGGUUACAUAGCGUGAAAAUUCUCAGAAAAGGAGCAGUGGUCACA
This is a long non-coding RNA of Epinephelus moara (kelp grouper), 1469 nucleotides long. RefSeq lists it as uncharacterized. The transcript is spliced from 5 exons. The record is from RefSeq and is a predicted model, not a curated record. NCBI's taxonomy places the organism in Eukaryota, Metazoa, Chordata, Actinopteri, Perciformes, Serranidae.